AAAAUAAGGGAGGAUGUAAGGGUAUCACUGGAAAAAAGGGGUGCAUUGGGUUAAGGAUGUCGGCAAUGUAUCAUAAUGGGUUGUGCCCAAAGGAACAACCCAAACCCUAAACUAAACCAACCAAAAUCCUAGAAGACCAAUGUGUUCUGCCUUUCUCUCAUUCCAUUUAGUCUUCACCCUCUCUCUUACUUCUCUCACUCUGCAAAUCCUUUCUUUCAUCUCCUCUCGUCAGAAGUGGCGACGGCGGCGACCCAUGGUGGUUGUCGCCUCCUCCUCCGGUGAUCAACCCUAAAUUAAAAAAUUUCAAACAUUAACCCCCUUCAGUCUUAUCCUUUCUUUCCAAGUUCAGGCCUAAUUUCAUCAAAAACCAACUUAAAAGGCCAAAUCAGAUGCUCAAAAUCAAGAAACCCUAAUUUUAAAUCCAGAGAAAAUCAACCAAAAACUAACCUACAUUCAGUCCUAAACAUCAAAUCAACAUGAAAAACAUACAAAAACAACACCAAUAGCAUGAAAUUCAAACCCAAAUAGAACCCUAACUCAACAAAUGCUCAAUCAGGUUCUAAAGCUACACAUACAAGCAUAAUGGAAGCAGAACCUACAUGUUAUCAAUUAAGCAUGGCAAACGCGAAAGGAAAAAAAAUCACCAGUCUGGACGUUCCCGGGGAGAAUAUCCACAGGAUUGUGGAUGAACAUGGGGCAUGAGGAUGGAUGGUGAUGAAUAUGGCGUUGCACAUGAAAGAACAUGUGAAGCUAUCUGUAACUCAAAAAACUCAUUUUCCUUCUGUUUUGUUCAUUUUUGUAAUAUUAUUAUUGUGUAAAAUGUAUUAUAAAUAAAACAUUUUUAUUUUAAUUCUAUUUUUUGUUUAAUGGAUGUAAAGUAUAAUAUUGAUGUAAAAUAAAAACAAAUUUUAACUCAUUUAUUUCUUUUUUUUAUA
Long non-coding RNA from Lathyrus oleraceus (garden pea), 935 nucleotides. RefSeq lists it as uncharacterized. Lineage: Eukaryota; Viridiplantae; Streptophyta; Magnoliopsida; Fabales; Fabaceae. The record is from RefSeq and is a predicted model, not a curated record. The transcript has 2 exons.